This 254-nucleotide ribosomal RNA is filed under the name uncultured bacterium. RNAcentral describes it as "partial 16S ribosomal RNA". It matches the Rfam family "Bacterial small subunit ribosomal RNA", at positions 524 to 776 of the family's 1533-position model. The record is from RNAcentral.
UACGGGGGGAGCAAGCGUUGUUCGGAUUUACUGGGCGUAAAGGGCGCGUAGGCGGUCGUGACAAGUCACUUGUGAAAUCUCCGGGCUUAACUCGGAACGGUCAAGUGAUACUGUCGGACUAGAGUACAGAAGGGGCAACUGGAAUUCUCGGUGUAGCGGUGAAAUGCGUAGAUAUCCGGAAGAACACCGGUGGCGAAGGCGGCCUGCUGGGCAGUUGCUGACACUGAGGCGCGACAGCGUGGGGAGCAAACAGG